This 377-nucleotide ribosomal RNA is filed under the name Erythrobacter sp. RNAcentral describes it as "bacterial SSU rRNA". It matches the Rfam family "Bacterial small subunit ribosomal RNA", at positions 954 to 1331 of the family's 1533-position model. Lineage: Bacteria; Pseudomonadati; Pseudomonadota; Alphaproteobacteria; Sphingomonadales; Erythrobacteraceae. The record is from RNAcentral.
AAGCAACGCGCAGAACCUUACCAGCCUUUGACAUCCUAGGACGGUUUCUGGAGACAGAUUCCUUCCCUUCGGGGACCUAGUGACAGGUGCUGCAUGGCUGUCGUCAGCUCGUGUCGUGAGAUGUUGGGUUAAGUCCCGCAACGAGCGCAACCCUCAUCCUUAGUUGCCAUCAUUUAGUUGGGCACUUUAAGGAAACUGCCGGUGAUAAGCCGGAGGAAGGUGGGGAUGACGUCAAGUCCUCAUGGCCCUUACAGGCUGGGCUACACACGUGCUACAAUGGCAUCUACAGUGGGCAGCUAUCACGCAAGUGUGAGCUAAUCUCCAAAAGAUGUCUCAGUUCGGAUUGUUCUCUGCAACUCGAGAGCAUGAAGGCGGAA